GACCAUGUACUCAUCGCUCUUGCAGGAUGCGCUGUCUGAAAGAGCGGUUUCCAAGGCAUCAUGUACAGCGGACAGCCUCCUCUUCAGAGCUUGUUCUCUGAAGGGAGGAACAAGAAAACCAGAUGAAAAGCCUCAGGGUCUGCACUCCUGUGAAACCACGGGGGUCCUCGAUGUAUGAAUAAUUUAGAAUCACUAAGAAACGUUGUAUUCAUUCAGCAGUAAGAGCCCAGUUGGAAAAAUACAAAGAAGCCUCCCAUAGAAAUAAUAUUUCUUUUUAUAUCACUGUUUAAAUGGCCUCGGCUUGCGUAUGAACAUAACCACAGUGGAAAUAAACGUUUAAAGCAAUGCGUCACUUUUACGUAUUCACUGUUUAUGGUUAGUGAAAAAAGAAGGACAAAUGGUUUGUGAAAAAAGGACACUGGUAAAAGGGUCAGAAAAUAAUAGCUUGUUCACAAUAUCUUCGCCCUCCUAGACCUAAAACAAUCUCACACAGAGUAUUCUGGUACAAACCCCCUUGGUAAUCAGCAGUAGUAGAGACCUAGCAGGCUUUAAUGUCCAAAGUCUGCAUUUCUGCUGAUAAUGUUCCUUAGCAACAAUCCAAAACCUGGCAACAAAUGCCCGAAAGGACCCAUUUGUCUGAUUUUACUGACUACCAUCAGUUGGUUUGCUUCAAGUGCAAAUACGCAGAUCCAUUCAGACAACUUUACAACCUGGAUUGUUCUCUGGUUCCACCUGAAAGUGUUCCUCUUAUAGAUAGUUAAUACACUCUAAAAGAAAAAUAAAAUAGAACAAACUUAAUUUCUAAGCGUGCAUGUCAUUUGGCGGGUGCUUAUAUCCCAGUCUCCUCUGCACCAUCUGCUGUUGAGAAGGAAGUUGACAGCUCUUCUGUUCCUGGGCUCCUGUGCCAGGACUUUGGACUGCCAUGUUGCUGCCUGUCAUUUACCUGCUCUGAGAGGAGAAAAUCUUACUGGGCUUGGACAACAGCUGCCCAGCGAGGCUCUUUCUGAGCCAGGGGACGCCAAUGGAGAGACGUCCCUGUCAGAAGGGGUUUUGGGUUUUCUGAAGAGCAGUGGAGAACUGGG
Long non-coding RNA from Lampris incognitus (smalleye Pacific opah), 1082 nucleotides. RefSeq lists it as uncharacterized. Lineage: Eukaryota; Metazoa; Chordata; Actinopteri; Lampriformes; Lampridae. The transcript has 3 exons. The record is from RefSeq and is a predicted model, not a curated record.